This 106-nucleotide non-coding RNA is filed under the name Tessaracoccus flavescens. Lineage: Bacteria; Bacillati; Actinomycetota; Actinomycetes; Propionibacteriales; Propionibacteriaceae. The record is from RNAcentral.
GCUAGACUCCCAGCGUCACGUGGAGAACUGGGUGCGAACCCCAGGCUGACCCGCAACCGUAACUGCCUCGCAGGAGCCGGACCAAUGCGUGACGAGUGCAUUGUUC